GUUAUAAUAGUUUAAAUAAAACCUUGGUCUUGUAAAUCAAAAUUAGAUAAUCAAUCUUUAUAACU
Molecule: transfer RNA, 65 nt
Filed under: Sthenoteuthis oualaniensis
Lineage: Eukaryota; Metazoa; Mollusca; Cephalopoda; Oegopsida; Ommastrephidae
Also listed under: 1 other name
Description: tRNA-Thr
Rfam family: tRNA
About the family: Transfer RNA (tRNA) molecules are approximately 80 nucleotides in length.
Source: RNAcentral